RNAcentral lists this long non-coding RNA (5174 nucleotides) under Sus scrofa (pig). RNAcentral's name for it is "lncRNA (ENSSSCG00050067452.1)". Lineage: Eukaryota; Metazoa; Chordata; Mammalia; Artiodactyla; Suidae. The record is from RNAcentral.
GGUUGCAUGUAGUGAAAGCAGGGAAGUAUUUGUAUGGAAGGACUGGGUAAAUGGAGUCCUCAGUCAACGUUGUAGCCGAGAACUCCACGCAAGACAAGACAGAGACUUCCUUUGGAACUUGUCAUUUGGUGCUUCUGUCAGUGUGUCCACUGUCGUGUCAUCAGCUUCUCAAAGGAUGCCUGGGGUCUGUGGAGAAGUCCCUUAGGGAAGUCUUCAUUCUGAAGAAUUAAAACGUCCCCGGAUUCUUCUUCUUGCCUUUGAUUGCUUUGCAGAACUUUGCUGUUGUACAAGGAAUAUUUAUAUGUUGGACCAUCUUCAAUAUGGCAGAGACUAUAGCAAAUCGAGUGAUAGAAAUAUGAAUAAUAUAAGUAUAUGAUGCCUGCUCUGGAAAAGCUCUUGCUGUUAUGGGAUAAGAUGCAAUAAUGUACAGCACACAUCAUGGUCCUUUGCUCAAUCAGGACCCUAAGGAGAUCAUCAAGUGACCUCAGCCAGAUGUCCUAACAACAGUAAGAUGAUAAGUAGGCAUGGUUUAUUUUUAUUGUUAUUUAAUUUUUGUCUGUAUUUUCUUGAAGUUUUCUUGAUUUCCAGCAUAUCAGAUGUACAGCAAAAUGAUUCAGUUAUCAACAUAAAUAUAUAUGUGUAUAUAUUCAUAUAUUUUCAGAUUAUUUUCCAUCAUAGGUUAUUACAAGGUAGUGAAUAUAGUUUCCUGUGCUAUAUAGUAGUCCUUAUUGUUUAUUUUACAUAUAGUAGUGUGGAUAUGUUAAUCCCAAACUCUCACCAUUAACCCUCCUCCCCUCCCCCUUUCCCCUUUGGUAAUUUUAAGUUUGUUUUCUAUGCUUGUGAGUCUAUUUCUGUUUUGUAAGUUCAUUGGUAUCAUUUUUUCAGAGUCCACAUAUACAUGAUAUGAUGAUAUCUGUCUUUCUUUGUCUGACUUACCAUUAAAUUUGUGGUGGUUUGCUAUGCAGCAAUAGAAAACUAGAAAUUUCACCACAUGUACGUAUUACCUCUCUCCCUCUGUGUGUGAGAGAGAGAGAGAGAGACAGAAAGAGAAAAAGGACAAAGUGAGUGUGUGUAUGUGUGUGUGUAUGCACACACACGUGCGUGUAUCUAUACCAAGGAGAUUAGCUGGAUUUAGAAUCACAUUGAUUUUUAAUAGAAACCACAGAUAAAAAUCUGAGUUUAUCUCAUGGAUACACAGCAAGCAGCCUCUGCUUCCACAGCUAGUGAGGUAUGAGAAACUGAUACAAUAAACACAAGAUUCUUAAAUAAAGCAUGAUUGAAAAAAAUAUGUAUAUGUUUAAGGACCCCACGAUUUUUGUUUCUCUAAAUAUGAUCUUCUUCAGUUUUCCUCAGUGGAUGUUUAUUGAGUUGCCAUUCUUUUAAGAUCACUCCAUGCAGUAACUCGUGUAGCCCUCACAAUAGCCCUAUGAGGUAGAUAGGCAUUUUCAUCAUCUCCAGUUUACAGAUAACUCACUCCAGGAUAACAGAUAACUUACACAGUGGGGCAGUCUGCUUCUGGAGUGCUGGCUUUUACUACAAUGCUCUAUCUUGCACCAUAAAAGUGGAGUCCUACUGUUUUUUUCCCUCAUACCUCAAACCCAAUCCCUUAGAAUGUCCUAAUGGCUUUAUUUCCCAUGCAUAUCCCACUCAAUUCUGUUGUCUCAUCUGGACCAUUGGAAUAGCCCCCUCACUGCUCUCCCUGCUUCUGAACCCUUGGUCCCUCUGGUCCUUGGUCCACAAGAUUGCUGGAUUAUCACACUUCUCUCUUCUGCGUAACCACCCACCCCAUGGCUGUAACUACACUUAGAAUAUUUUUUUCUUUUUUAAUUAAAGCAUAGUUGAUUUACAAUGUUGUGUCAAUUUCAGCUAUACAGCAAAGUGACUCAGUUAUAUAUGUGUAUGUACAUAUACAUGUCUAUACAUACAUAUAUUCUUUGACAAAAUGUCCUACUGUAUAGCAUAGGAAACUAUAUACAGUCUACUAGGACAGACCAUGAUGGGAAAUAACAUAAAAUAGAAUAAAGGUUUUACAAUAGGUUUCAGGGAACACUUGGUAGUAUCUGUAGAUAUUUUUCUUGUUAUGGCUUGGAGGGUGAAAGUGCUACUGGCAUCUGGUGAGUUGGAACCAUGGAUGCUACUAAACAUUCAUGGGAUAUCACCCCAAAAUAAUCAUCCAGCUCACAGUGUCAGCAGAGCUGAGGUGAGAACCCCUGUUCCACAUGGAACAAUGCAGCAAAUUCAAAGCUUAGAGUAUCAUACCCUUUCAAACCCCAGGGCUGAAGAGUUUCUGGGCUCCCCUCAAACGACCUUGGGGACACAGCCUCCUGCUAGCUGGGGAACUCAUAAACUACACCUUCUCUAGCAUGGACCAGGGGGCUCUUUCUGGCAGUGGAGACCUUUGCUCUGAACCGAGAUUGAAAUCCUGAGAUUCAGCAAGUGGUGAAUUGAAUUUUGAAGAAUGAUGGGUAAGGAGAGGAACAUUCUUCAAAAACAGCAAAAAGGAAUGGCUAUUGCUGCUUUGACCUCAGGAAGACCUGCUUUUCUCUGUCUUCCCAUGGUUCCUGAUCACUGCUUAGAUUAAUUUAGCGUCCUCAUCCGUACUGAAAUAUUAAUAACUAACAUGGUAAAGCCUUUAUACAAUGACUGAUUUUUAGUAACAUUCUUUAUCAUAAAAUAAAAGCUUAAUAUAAAAAAGAUGGGCAGAUAAUGUUUUAAAAGUUAAAAAUCUAAAAGAAGAGGGAAAAAGAAGUUAUAAUUCCACUACACAGAAAUAACUGCUGAUAAUAGUUUGGCAGGUGUGCAUGUUUGUGUGUAUAAAGGUAACAGUGUAACAUGAACGUUCUCUCAUAUGGAUAAAAUUUUGAAAACCGUGGCAUACUAUUCCAUCUUAUGGCAAUGUUGUUGCUUUUAAGAUUCUUCCAAGUUUUCAUCACUGACUUUGAUGACAUCCACAUCGCUGAUCAGUUGUGAGAAUAAAAGGAGAGAGCAUUUACUCAAAAGACAUGAAUGAGGUAUUUUCUAUGUACCAAACAUUGUGCUAGGUACUUUAAGAGAUGCAUAAAACAUGAUUUUUUUUCUUUUUUUUAAAGUUUUGUUGAAGUAUAGUUGAUUUACAAGGUGGUGAUGAUUUCUGCUGUACAACAAAGUGAUUCAGUCACACAUGUGUACACAUCCACAGUUUUCAAGAUGAAGCAAAUAGCAGUGAGUGUGGGCAGAGAGAAAAUGAGAAGUUGGUACCCGCUGCCAAGGAGGGCCCUGGGAAUCACCUGCUUCGGUGGUGAACAUAGCAAUGAGACCAUCUGUGGGGUCCUCCCUCUAAUCCAGAAACUUCUUCUCUCACUAAACCCCACUCCCUGCCCAUCCAAAGGUUGUGUGGGCCUCUAAAUCCUUGCACUGAACACUAUCCUACUUGGGUUUUGUACAGUCUUCUAGUGAUGUCAUGAUAAAUGACCAUAGACUGGGUAACUUACAUGACAGAUUUAUUUCUCACAGUUCUGGAAGCUGGGAAGUUCAAGAUCAAUGACUCAGUCAAUUUGGUUCCAAUGAGAUCUUUCCUUCUAGCUUUCAGGCGGCCACCUUCAAUACCAUCAUGAGGGCUCCACCCUCAUGACUUCAUCAAUGCUUAAUUGCUUCCCAAAGACCCCACCACCAAAAUCAUCACUUUGGGAGUUAGGGCUUGAACAUGUAAUUUGGCGGAGGGGGCACAAUUCAGUGCAUAAGCACAGUGUAUUUCUUUUGGGGUCAGUAAAAUCUUAGUUUUAUCAUAUACAAAAAUGCAUUCACGCUCAGUGGAGACAAUACGCUAUCAAUUUAGUGUCUUUGUUCCCUUUAUCACCUCAUUUAUUGAUAUGGGUCAUGCUAUAUGUGUUAAAUGGAAUAUGUUACGCUUUAACAUUAAUUUACAUGUUUAUGCCACAACAUUUACGAUUUCCUGUUCUACGCUGGUGGCUGUGGCUAGCGGCAGAGAGUAAAUGGUAAAAUGUAACCAAUCCAGAUCUGGGAUCUGACCUUACAGAGCUCAGCGGCGACUGUAAAUUGAAGUUCUUUUCCAAAUUCCCCUAUCAUGCAAAUGCUCUAGUGUAUAUUAUUUACAUCUAACUCUGCACACAACUGGCAUCUUUAAGACUCUUGUGUGCAUGUGUAUCAACAAGCUAGCAUGCACCUUCUAGUUUCUGUCAUGCACUGACGGUCUGUUAAAAUGGUUAAGACAGUCGCUUCCUGGGGAAUGGGAUCCCUGUCACGGGAGUCUUUAUACUCCCUGCACUUUUCACACGCAGUCCAAUGCAUAAUAGACAUUCCAUCAUGUUGACUGAGUAAGUGAUGCCCCCUUUGGUUGUCAUAAUAAGCAUCUGAGGAAGGUUCUGAUAUUCCUGACUCAGUAAGAUCGGGCUGCCGUAACAAAGUACCAUAGACUGGGUGGUCUAAACACAAGAGAGUCUUUCUCUCACAGUUCUGGAGACGGAGGUGACAGCAUGGUCUUCUUCUUCUUCUUUUUUUUUUUUUUUUUGGUCUUUGUGGGCCACACCUGAGGCACAUGGCGGGAUCCGAGCUGCAUCUGUGACCUACAAUACAGCUCACGGCAACACCAGAUCCUUAAGCCACUGAGCAAGGCCAGGGAUCGAACCUGUGUCCUCAUGGAUACUAGUCAGAUUCGUUUCUGCUGAGCCAUGACAGGAACUCCUUAUUCUUCUGAUGAAGGCCCUCUUCCUGGUUUUUGCCUUUAGCCAUCUUCUCACUGUGUCCUCCCAUGGCAGAGAAGGAGGCAGGAGGAGCUCUGGUGUACUGGGCACUGAUGCUAUUGGAUGGGAGAUCUACUCUUAUGACCUUAUUUAAUCUGAAGUAGUUCAGCAAAGGCCUUACCUUCAGAUAUAAUCACAUAGAGAGUUAAGCCUUCAACGGAGGAAUCUGGGGAGGACACAAACAUUCAGUCCAUAGCAAUUCCCAUUUUACAGAUAGGAAAUCUAGAUGUGACAGGAUGUCACCUGUGCUUUGUCCCGAGGCUGACUCCCUCUGAUUGGUAGUGGCUGCAGGAAUCCUGGGAGGGGCAGGAUCCUGGAGGCAUACCUGGGCUCACAAAAGAGCUGACUGGGCAUGGAUGGGGAAGCAUGUGUGUGUGUGAGCAUGAAGCAAGAACCAUCCACGUGUGCACAAAAUUGCCAUCACUAUGCUUGGCA